Gallus gallus (chicken) is the source of this 2398-nucleotide long non-coding RNA. The record is from Ensembl. Lineage: Eukaryota; Metazoa; Chordata; Aves; Galliformes; Phasianidae.
GGUUUGACAGCGCUCAUGGAUUCAUUUGGACAUAGGGCAUCUUUCACUGUAGGUGGUGAGAACAGUCUGCUGAGCACCGUGAGGUGUUCUGUUGCAGGUCUAAUUGACAUCAGUAGCCUGAUACUGUUCAGAGUGUAUCUGUGAUAUGUUUUAUUCUGGUGUAGCUAUGGAUGGUAAGCUCAAGGUGGUUAAGUUCAAGGAGGAAAGGUUUACACUGGAUGUCAGGGGGAAGUUCUUCACAGAGUGAUGAGGUGCUGGCACAGGAUGCCCAGAGAGGCUGUGGAUGCUCUGUCCCUAAAGGGCCAGGUUGGAUGGGGCCCUGGGCAGCCUGGUCUAGUGUCAGAUCAGGACGUUGGUGGCCCUCUCUGUGGUAGGGGGGUUGGAGCUUCAUGAUCCUUGGGAUCCCUUCUAACCCAUGCCAUCUGUGAUUCUGUGAUGGUGGUUAUGCCCAACUGAUGGACAUGUAGGAAUCUUGGGGCUUCUUACAGUUCUUAGGCAUGUCCAAAAGCUGGGCAGGUCGCAUAAUUGCCUAGAAAUACAAAGCUCUCUCUAAGUGCUGUUAUUGUAAAUAUGUUUGUCCUGUUAUGCUUUAGCAUUAAAAUAACGCGUAAUUGUGUUAGCCUUUAAAACUGUAGGCUGUUUCUUGAGGAAUCAUUUUCAGGUAAGCUAUGAAGACUUUGCAACUGACAGGUGUUCCACGCAAAUAUUUGCCCUCUUUCCCAAAAUGACCUCUUAUCUCCUUAGCAGUGUUACAGACCUGAGCUAAUCCUCCAGCUGUUACAGUUCCAGAUAAGUAACUGUUGAAGUGGUGCAGACUGCUCUCGUGCUCUACAGGAGUUCCAGGUGGUCUUCUGUUUCUGGAAGGGCUCAUCAAGGCAUUAGCGUGAGCCUGGACCAGGACAGCCGAGGAGACCACCUUCCCUCCCCAUGUCUUGAGGAGAGCUGACACUGAAGUGGGCUAGCGUGAGCCGGGGUCUCCGUGAGUCACACUUCACCUAACAGCAGCCUUCACCACUGCAGUAGGAGCUUCAGGCUGCAGUAAUCUCCCAUCAUAGGGGGAUUAAAGACUUCUGGUGGCUUUGAGUGCCUCCAUCCUGAGGUUUCGGAGUGCUUUGGAUUGUGCCUCAUUCAUCACACUGAACAACUCCAGCAUUUCAGAACAAAAGAUACAAGAGAAGCUUCUUCCAAGUUUAGCUCCACACAAUCCUUUUCUGAUAAAAGCUGUUUGAUAUUAGGGUUAGCCUCAAACUCACAAAGCACUGUGCUAAUUUACCUGCAGUUCCCAUUCUGUGUCUAUGACGUACGUAUACAUGUCUGACGUAGAAUCGUCAAGGCUGGAAAAGAUCAAGUCCAACCAUUAGCCCAUCCCCACCAUGCCCACUAACCAUGUCCAUAAGGUGCCACUUCUACACGUUACUUGGGACACCUCCAGGACUGGUGCCUUCACCACCCGUACCUGUGCACAACUUCAGCGAUCAUGGAUGGGCCUCUCAGUGUUACUGAAGCAACCAAAUAUGUUGAAGCCUAAGGUCAGUAGCAGGACCCAGGCCAUGUGCACAGUGACCUUGCCUGGUUUAGCAUUGCAGGGAUGUCCCCAAGCCCCUGCUGUAUGAGGCUGCAUUGUGUGGAUCUCAGGAACAAUCAGCCCUAAGACUCGCUCUAAAUGGCCUAAAUCCAUACGUAAUAUGACAAUAGUGGGGAUCUCUGAAGUUUGUUGGACAACGAAUCUGAACUGCAGGGGAACUGACGGUUGGUUCUCCGAAAAUGAGUGGAUCUUUGCACUACGUUUUGUUCAGUUCAUCAGCCCUGGAGGAUAGAAACGCUCAUAGUGCCAGGGGACUUUGAAGCCAAGCACCAAUGCUGCCCUGUUGCCAGUCCAUACUUAAAGAUGUGGAACAGCUCUCCUGCGGUCAGCACUCCCUCCUGCUGUGCUGCUGUGCCCAGCAUGUAAGAGGUUUGGCCAAUGAACUUCCUGCUCAUCCUGGCCAGCACUAUGGGAGCAGAUCUAAAUCUGCAGUGAAUGGAGCAGCUCAGAGACACACUGGUGUGGGAGUGGAAAAAGAGCAGUUUGUUUCUUAAUGUAAAGCAGAGCCCUCUGUUUGCUGGUUAAUAAAUAUUAGGCCAGAGCAAAGCUUGUAGAGUUGAAGUCUGAGAGAGUUAAGUGCAGGGGUUGUUCCUCAGCUCUUCCCGAAUAAGGUCUGCACUACCAGGCUGACCACAAACACUGGCUGUGUGAGGCUGUGUCUAUGCAGGCAUGCUGGUUUGCUGUCACCACCCUUUUCUGUUAUUGCUCCCUCAGUCUGGCCCUCCUGCACCUGCAGCAGAUGUUAAAACCCAUGGGUCUCAGCUUUGAGCAACACUACCAGGCAUAGUCCCCAGCUCCUCCCCAGGUUCUGUG